This 253-nucleotide ribosomal RNA is filed under the name uncultured bacterium. Its description in RNAcentral is "partial 16S ribosomal RNA". It matches the Rfam family "Bacterial small subunit ribosomal RNA", at positions 524 to 776 of the family's 1533-position model. The record is from RNAcentral.
UACGUAGGGGGCAAGCGUUGUCCGGAUUUAUUGGGCGUAAAGAGCGUGUAGGCGGCUAGAUAGGUCCGUUGUGAAAACUCGAGGCUCAACCUCGAGACGUCGAUGGAAACCAUCUGGCUAGAGUCCGGAAGAGGAGAGUGGAAUUCCUGGUGUAGCGGUGAAAUGCGCAGAUAUCAGGAAGAACACCCGUGGCGAAGGCGGCUCUCUGGUACGUGACUGACGCUGAGACGCGAAAGCGUGGGAAGCAAACAGG